This 2902-nucleotide long non-coding RNA is filed under the name Salmo salar (Atlantic salmon). RNAcentral describes it as "lncRNA (ENSSSAG00000104816.1, ENSSSAG00000107137.1)". The stretch from base 2473 to 2526 matches the Rfam family "UnaL2 LINE 3' element". Lineage: Eukaryota; Metazoa; Chordata; Actinopteri; Salmoniformes; Salmonidae. The record is from RNAcentral.
AUGCUAGUACUGCUACUGAUGUUAGUACUGCUGCUGAUGUUAGUACUGCUACUGUUGCUAGUACUGCUACUGAUGCUAGUACUGCUACUGAUGUUAGUACUGCUACUGAUGCUACUGCUACUGAUGCUAGUACUGCUACUGAUGCUAGUACUGCUACUGAUGUUAGUACUGCUGCUGAUGUUAGUACUGAUACUGAUGCUAGUACUGCUACUGAUGCUAGUACUGCUACUGAUGUUAGUACUGUUACUUAUGCUAGUACUAAGAUAUGGUAAAUAGGAGUGGCAAUAUCGUCUGCUAUUAUCCUCAGUAAUUUUCUAUCCAGUGUGUCAGACCCCGGUGGCUUGUUAUUGUUUCUAGACAACAAUAUUUUUUUCAUCUCUUCCACAUUGACUUUACAGAAUUGAAAAUUACAAUUCUUGUCUUUCAUAAUUUGGUCAGAUUUACUUGGAUGUGUAGUGUCAGCGUUUGUUGCUGGCAGGUCAUCCCUAAGUUCGCUUAUCUUGCCAAUGAAACAUCAUUAAAGUAAUUGGCAAUAUCAGUGGGCUUUGUGAUGAAGGAGCCAUCUGAUUCAGUUAAUGUUGGCGCUGAGGUGCUCCAAAGCCUUCUUACUAUCAUUCUUUAUAUACUUUUCUUUGGUUUCAUAGUACAGUGUAUUUUUAUUUAGUUUAGUCACAUGUUUUCUUAAUUUGCAGUACAUUUUCCAAUCAGUUGGGCUGCCAUAACAUGUUUCAAUUCCUCAUCAAUCCAAGGGGAUUUAACAGUUUUUACAGUUAUUUUAUUAAUGGGUCCGUGCUUAUUAGUAACUGGAAUAUGCAAUUUCAUAAAUGUGUCAAGUACAGGGUCUGGUUGCUCCUCAUUACACACCACAAACCAGCAAAUAUUCUUUACAUCAACAACAUAGGAAUCACUACAAAACUUCUUGUAUGACCUCUUAUACACUAUAUUAGGCCCAGCCUUUGGAACAGGGGUGUCCGAUGUGACUACCACUGUAUCCUCUGUCAUAGGGGCGUCUGAGGCUACUACCACUGUAUCCUCUGUCAUAGGGGCGUCUGAGGCUACUACCACUGUAUCCUCUGUCAUAGGGGCAUCUGAGGCUACUACCACUGUAUCCUCUGUCAUAGGGGCGUCUGAGGCUACUACCACUGUAUCCUCUGUCAUAGGGGCGUCUGAGGCUACUACCACUGUAUCCUCUGUCAUAGGGGCAUCUGAGGCUACUACCACUGUAUCCUCUGUCAUAGGGGUGUCCGAGGCCACUACCACUGUAUCCUCUGUCAUAGGGGCGUCCGAGGCUACUACCACUGUAUCCUCUGUCAUAGGGGCGUCUGAGGCUACUACCACUGUAUCCUCUGUCAUAGGGGCAUCUGAGGCUACUACCACUGUAUCCUCUGUCAUAGGGGUGUCCGACGCUACUACCACUGAAUCCUCUGUCAUAGGGGUGUCCGAGGCCACUACCACUGUAUCCUCUGUCAUAGUGGUGUCCGAGGCUACUACCACUGCUGAUGGUUGAUGGGGAGUAUAAAACAAUGUUCCUCUGAGGCUUUAUAUCAUUUCAGACCGUUCUGUCCUCAGUGCAUUACAAUACAUACAGCUCUACAUUCAUAUCUACUUACUGUACAUUAUAUUAACUCAGUGUGCACUAAACAUAUCUAGAUAUACAGUAGGCAUCUACGUGCUGUGGAAACAUCAGACUGAAUAAUAUGCAUGUUAACCAUGUAUAAUCUACAUAAUGUUAACCAUGUUGCAUAAUGUUAACCAUGCUGUAUAAUCUACAUGAUGUUAACCAUGCAGUAUAAUCUACAUGAUGUUAACCAUACAGUAUAAUCUACAUGAUGUUAACCAUGCUGUAUAAUCUACAUGAUGUUAACCAUGCUGUAUAAUCUACAUAAUGUUAACCAUGCUUUUUAAUCUACAUGAUGUUAACCAUACAGUAUAAUCUACAUGAUGUUAACCAUGCUUUUUAAUCUACAUGUUAAUCAUGCUGUAUAAUCUACAUAAUGUUAACCAUGCUGUAUAAUUUAUACUCUGAUAUUGGUUGCCGGAUUCCUGAUAAUGCACUGUUCCAAGUGGUUCAUUCCCUCUCCUCUCUCCUGUAACUAUUCCCCAGGUCAUUGCUGUUCCAAGGGGUUCAUUACCUCUCCUCUCCCCUGUAACUAUUCCCCAGGUCAUUGCUGUUCCAAGUGGUUCAUUCCCUCUCCUCUCCCCUGUAACUAUUCCCCAGGUCAUUGCUGUUCCAAGUGGUUCAUUCCCUCUCCUCUCCCCGGUAACUAUUCCCCAGGUCAUUGCUGUAAAUGAGAAUGUGUUCUCGGGUCAUCUUAACUGCUAAAAUAAUUGUUAGCAUUGUUCCAUCUAAUGACAUGUGAAUGUAGUUCUAGAUAAUAUAACUGUAUCCUGGCCCUAUAUGGUUCAGUUGGUAUAGCAUGGCGCUUGCGCAGCCAUGGUUCAAUUCCCGGGACCACCCAUACAUAAAAUAUAUGCACACGUUACUGUAAAUCACUUUGGAUAAAAGCCUCUGCUAAAUGGCAUAUUAUUGAUAUUAUUAUUAGAUGAUAACUAGUCUGCUCUAUAUCUAUAAUGUAGUCCACUGAGGUCCAUUUCAUAGUUGGCAUCAUCAUUACCUGUGAAACCAUACAGGUUUCUGUCUCUCUCCUUUUCCUCCCUGUUUUGGUCCAUAUGUAUCAACCUUCUCAGAGUAGGAGUACUGUUUUAGGAUCUAUAUUUCCUUUCAGAUCCCACUUAAUAAGAUGUUAUGGACAGGAGGGACCUGAGCACUCCUACUCCUGAGACCUUUGAUAUAAACAAGCCCUGCUCUCUCCGCUGUAAUUAUUUGCUCUGUACAGUGAUGCUUACAGCUUCACCUUCAAACAAAAGACUGAAUGUUUUUGUACUGCUCUGAAAUGUCUUG